UGAGUAACACGUGGGUAACCUGCCCAUCANAAGGGGAUAACACUUGGAAACAGGUGCUAAUACCGUAUAACAAUCGAAACCGCAUGGUUUCGGUUUGAAAGGCGCUUUUGCGUCACUGAUGGAUGGACCCGCGGUGCAUUAGCUAGUUGGUGAGGUAACGGCUCACCAAGGCAACGAUGCAUAGCCGACCUGAGAGGGUGAUCGGCCACAUUGGGACUGAGACACGGCCCAAACUCCUACGGGAGGCAGCAUG
Molecule: ribosomal RNA, 253 nt
Filed under: uncultured bacterium
Lineage: Bacteria
Description: partial 16S ribosomal RNA
Rfam family: Bacterial small subunit ribosomal RNA
Source: RNAcentral